UGGGGAAUAUUGCACAAUGGGCGAAAGCCUGAUGCAGCGACGCCGCGUGAGGGAUGACGGCCUUCGGGUUGUAAACCUCUUUCAGCAGGGACGAAGCGCAAGUGACGGUACCUGCAGAAGAAGCACCGGCUAACUACGUGCCAGCAGCCGCGGUAAUACGUAGGGUGCAAGCGUUGUCCGGAAUUACUGGGCGUAAAGAGUUCGUAGGCGGUUUGUCGCGUCGUUUGUGAAAACCAGCAGCUCAACUGCUGGCUUGCAGGCGAUACGGGCAGACUUGAGUACUGCAGGGGAGACUGGAAUUCCUGGUGUAGCGGUUAAAUGCGCAGAUAUCAGGAGGAACACCGGUGGCGAAGGCGGGUCUCUGGGCAGUAACUGACGCUGAGGAACGAAAGCGUGGGUAGCGAACAGG
RNAcentral lists this ribosomal RNA (409 nucleotides) under Bacillota bacterium. RNAcentral's name for it is "Firmicutes bacterium partial 16S ribosomal RNA". It matches the Rfam family "Bacterial small subunit ribosomal RNA", at positions 355 to 776 of the family's 1533-position model. The record is from RNAcentral. Lineage: Bacteria; Bacillati; Bacillota.